Molecule: long non-coding RNA, 340 nt
Filed under: Zea mays
Lineage: Eukaryota; Viridiplantae; Streptophyta; Magnoliopsida; Poales; Poaceae
Description: long non-coding RNA (ZMAY_LNC002801)
Source: RNAcentral
UCCAAAAGAUACACAAAUGCCGAACAUAUAAACAGAACCUACAAUUCGAAUAUGGGAUUCCUCUUUAAGACAUCUAUGUAUUAUCGUCCGUGUGAUUUCACUGGAGAAGUCUCCCAUACUAAUAUACGUACUAGAAGCCACUACAUCCAGGUCUGGAUAGAUAAUCGACAUCUGGCCUUAUCUGCGGCAAUCUGAAACCUAAAUGACGCCAACAGAUCCAUACCCUCUGCCAGACAGAGGCGGUCGCCCGGCGCCACGACCGCUCCCUGCCUCCUCCGCAGCCACGGCCGCGGCCGCCUCUGCCUCCGAGGCCUUGCGCGCCUCCGCGACGCGCUCCUCG